Molecule: transfer RNA, 84 nt
Filed under: Deltaproteobacteria bacterium
Lineage: Bacteria; Pseudomonadati; Myxococcota; Myxococcia
Also listed under: 1 other name
Description: tRNA-Leu
Rfam family: tRNA
About the family: Transfer RNA (tRNA) molecules are approximately 80 nucleotides in length. Their secondary structure includes four short double-helical elements and three loops (D, anti-codon, and T loops).
Source: RNAcentral
GCACGAGUGGCGGAACUGGUAGACGCACCGGAUUUAGGAUCCGGUUUUCGAAAGGAAGUGGAGGUUCAAGUCCUCUCUCGUGCA